RNAcentral lists this ribosomal RNA (253 nucleotides) under uncultured bacterium. Its description in RNAcentral is "partial 16S ribosomal RNA". It matches the Rfam family "Bacterial small subunit ribosomal RNA", at positions 524 to 776 of the family's 1533-position model. The record is from RNAcentral.
UACGGAGGGUGCGAGCGUUGUCCGGAAUCAUUGGGCGUAAAGGGCGCGUAGGCGGCCGAUCAAGUCGGGGGUGAAAGCCUGUGGCUCAACCACAGAAUUGCCUUCGAUACUGUUUGGCUUGAGACCGGAAGAGGUUAGUGGAACUGCGAGUGUAGAGGUGAAAUUCGUAGAUAUUCGCAGGAACACCAGUGGCGAAGGCGGCUGACUGGUCCGGUUCUGACGCUGAGGCGCGAAAGCGUGGGGAGCAAACAGG